This 762-nucleotide ribosomal RNA is filed under the name uncultured bacterium. RNAcentral describes it as "bacterial SSU rRNA". It matches the Rfam family "Bacterial small subunit ribosomal RNA", at positions 8 to 796 of the family's 1533-position model. The record is from RNAcentral.
AGAGUUUGAUCAUGGCUCAGGACGAACGCUGGCGGCGUGCCUAAAACAUGCAAGUCGAACGGUGUAGCAAUACACAGUGGCGAACGGCGGAGUAAUACAUGAACAACGUGCCCGGAAGACUGGGAUAGUCAGGGGAAACCCUGGGUAAUACCAGAUGUGGCCGUUUCUUGGCAUCAAGAGACGAUCAAAUGGUUUUUCGCUUCCGGAGCGGUUCAUGGCCUAUCAGGUAGUUGGUGAGGUAAUGGCUCACCAAGCCGACGACGGGUAGCGGGUCUGAGAGGAUGACCCGCUCGAGUGGGACUGAGACACGGCCCACACACCUACGGGUGGCAGCAGUUGGGAAUCUUGCACAAUGGGGGAAACCCUGAUGCAGCGACGCCGCGUGGAGGAUGAAGGAUCUAGGUCUGUAAACUCCUUUUUCAGGGAAAGACUUAGGACGGUACCCUGAGAAUAAGGACCGGCUAACUACGUGCCAGCAGCCGCGGUAAGACGUAGGGUCCAAGCGUUAUCCGGAUUUACUGGGCGUAAAGAGCGCGUAGGCGGCUCGUUAAGUGUGAAGUGAAAUCUCCAGGGCUCAACCCGGAAACUGCUUUACAUACUGGCGAGCUGGAGUGAUGAAGAGGUUUGUGGAAUUCCUGGUGUAGCGGUGAAAUGCGUUGAUAUCAGGAGGAACACCCAUGGCGAAGGCAGCAAACUGGUCAUCAACUGNNNNUGAGGCGCGAAAGCGUGGGUAGCAAACAGGAUUAGAUACCCUAGUAGUCC